UCUUUUCCAAGAGCUUCUG
Molecule: small nuclear RNA, 19 nt
Filed under: Arabidopsis thaliana (thale cress)
Lineage: Eukaryota; Viridiplantae; Streptophyta; Magnoliopsida; Brassicales; Brassicaceae
Description: snRNA_15601
Source: RNAcentral